AAGUCGUAACAAGGUUUCCGUAGGGUAAGUUAUUAUCAAAUCCUCUAUUAUUAUUUCUUGAUUUUACAGUAUACUAACGUGCUAUAGUGAACCUGCGGAAGGAUCAUUACCGAGUAAUUGGUCGCUAUUUAUAGCACCAAACUCCCACCCUUAUGUUUACUACAAUUUGUUAUCUUUGGCGAAGCGUUUUUUUCUCAAAGCCACUGGUAGUGAAAACUAUGAGUGAGUCUUUGCCAAAGUUUUUCAACUCUUGAAUUUUUUCAUGGUUGUCUGAGUUUAAACAAAAAAAUAAUUAAAA
This 298-nucleotide unclassified non-coding RNA is filed under the name plant metagenome. Its description in RNAcentral is "partial contains small subunit ribosomal RNA and internal transcribed spacer 1". The record is from RNAcentral.